UUUUAUUUGAGAGUUUGAUCCUGGCUCAGGAUGAACGCUGGCGGCGUGCCUAACACAUGCAAGUUGAGCGAUUUACUUCGGUAAAGAGCGGCGGACGGGUGAGUAACGCGUGGGUAACCUACCCUGUACACACGGAUAACAUACCGAAAGGUAUGCUAAUACGGGAUAAUAUAUUUGAGAGGCAUCUCUUGAAUAUCAAAGGUGAGCCAGUACAGGAUGGACCCGCGUCUGAUUAGCUAGUUGGUAAGGUAACGGCUUACCAAGGCGACGAUCAGUAGCCGACCUGAGAGGGUGAUCGGCCACAUUGGAACUGAGACACGGUCCCAACUCCUACGGGAGGCAGCAGUGGGGAAUAUUGCACAAUGGGCGAAAGCCUGAUGCAGCAACGCCGCGUGAGUGAUGAAGGCCUUCGGGUCGUAAAACUCUGUCCUCAAGGAAGAUAAUGACGGUACUUGAGGAGGAAGCCCCGGCUAACUACGUGCCAGCAGCCGCGGUAAUACGUAGGGGGCUAGCGUUAUCCGGAUUUACUGGGCGUAAAGGGUGCGUAGGCGGUCUUUCAAGUCAGGAGUGAAAGGCUACGGCUCAACCGUAGUAAGCUCUUGAAACUGGGAGACUUGAGUGCAGGAGAGGAGAGUGGAAUUCCUAGUGUAGCGGUGAAAUGCGUAGAUAUUAGGAGGAACACCAGUUGCGAAGGCGGCUCUCUGGACUGUAACUGACGCUGAGGCACGAAAGCGUGGGGAGCAAACAGGAUUAGAUACCCUG
This 762-nucleotide ribosomal RNA is filed under the name Clostridioides difficile. RNAcentral's name for it is "bacterial SSU rRNA". It matches the Rfam family "Bacterial small subunit ribosomal RNA", at positions 1 to 789 of the family's 1533-position model. Lineage: Bacteria; Bacillati; Bacillota; Clostridia; Peptostreptococcales; Peptostreptococcaceae. The record is from RNAcentral.